UGGCAAGUCUUCCAGUAUGGGGAGCAAAACAGCUAUGGGUCAAGUCCGAUAUCUUUAGGAGAAGUCUUAUUGUGAGGGCGAGUUAUAUAACACCAUAGGACUGGCCGUCCCAUAUGAAAAGAUUAUAUUAGAAUUGAAUGAAGCUUUGUUUAUAUAUUGAUAAUGACAGUAUAUAUAUCGUGUCUUGACUAAUUGCGUGCCAGCAGUCGCGGUAAUACGUAAGAGACUAGUGUUAUUCAUCUUAAUUAGGUUUAAAGGGUACCCAGACGGUCAAUAUAGCUUAUAAAAUGUUAGUACUUGACUAGAGUUUUAUGUAAGAGGGCAGUACUUGAGGAGGAGAGAUGAAAUUUCGUGAUACCAAAGGGACUCUGUAAAGGCGAAGGCAGCCCUCUAUGUAAAAACUGACGUUGAAGGACGAAGGCACAGAGAACAAACAGGAUUAGAUACCCAAGUAGUCUUUGCAGUAAAUGAUGAAUGCCAUAGGU
This 485-nucleotide ribosomal RNA is filed under the name Fusarium solani. RNAcentral describes it as "SSU rRNA". It matches the Rfam family "Bacterial small subunit ribosomal RNA", at positions 355 to 823 of the family's 1533-position model. Lineage: Eukaryota; Fungi; Ascomycota; Sordariomycetes; Hypocreales; Nectriaceae. The record is from RNAcentral.